This is a long non-coding RNA of Harmonia axyridis, 2337 nucleotides long. RefSeq lists it as uncharacterized. The transcript has 3 exons. The record is from RefSeq and is a predicted model, not a curated record. Lineage: Eukaryota; Metazoa; Arthropoda; Insecta; Coleoptera; Coccinellidae.
UUAACCAUAACAAUUAUAUACAGAGUGGGGCGUUCUCGCAUGACUGGUCCGAUCUUGUUUAUUCGAUAUACAAAAGGAUGCCAAAUUUUCGUUUCAUUGUAGUAUCGUUUAAUUGGUGUGAGUUUUGUUGAGAAGUGAAGGAACUAUGUCCGCGCGCAGUAACUGCAUAGUAGAAAUUGCGACAGGUAUGAGUAUUAUUAUUAUUAUAUUUUUAAAUUGAAUAGAUUCUGAAUACUCCGUGAAACAAUUUCUUCAGUUCAUGGUAUUGUUCGAAGCAAUAACUUAUUAUUGCCUCACUAAUUUUAGUGAUACAAAUUAUGAAACAACUGAUAAUUUGUUCUAGAGGUAUCGACGUUGAAAGAGAGGUUCAUUAAAAUAAGCAAUGUGCACCGAUAAGCCAUCAUUAUAGAUUGGAAGAUGGUGUAAGUAUAUCGAAUGUUUCAGACAAAAUAAUAUCAAUCUUCUCUAAGUUCAAUUCAUUCAGGUAUAUAGUCAGUUCAUCAAAGUUUUUCUGCAUACUUCUAAUGUUUAAAUGUAAUAAGUUAAAUUUCCUCUCCCGGCCAAGCUCAUUCCUCAACUUACCAAGAUCAUCAAAAAUUUUCGCUGCCGGAUGCUUACAUAUUUUCGCCUCAUCUGCUCCAUCCAAGAAACCGUUAAUGAUGAAGUCUCAGAACUUAUUCAUUCAAUCAAUAAAUUGAACCCAACCAACAAUUAUAAAAUAUUAAAUCUGAAAAAUGAAAAACUUUAACCAGUAAAGAAAAACAACUUAUUUAUUCAAUCAAUAAAUUGAACCCAACUAACAAUUAUAAAAUAUUAAAUCUGAAAAAUGAAAAACUUUAACCAGUAAAGAAAAACAACGUAACAGAAAAAAAACCCCCGCUCCCCUUCGAAGCAAAUUUAAUAUAAACUUCUAUUCUAGGUAGACAAACAUUGAUGUUAUCUGAAAUAUUUGCAGGUCAAGCAUUUAAACCUUGACCUUCUAAAUCGGAAAAGUCAUGAACACUACUUAUCUUCUUCCUUUUGUCACCCAUUUUAACAUGAAUAUUACCAUCAAAACUAUAAACAUUUCUUCUUCCAAACUUUAUUCCUAAUUUCGAAAGUAGUUCGAGUUUUCUAGGUGUUAAGUCCUCACAAAUUAACAUCUUAGAUCCCUUCAAGUGUUUUCUGUGAUCAAUAAGCUUCUUUUUGUUUUGAUAUCUACCAAGUACAAUAAUGACGGGCCGCUCCUUUUGACCUUUUCGUUCCCCAACACGAUAUACUCGUGUCAUCGGGCGUCAAGAAAAUUUUCAUGGUAUCCUUAAAAAUGUGCAUCAUUUUCCUACUGAUAUUUUCAUCCUCUUCUUCGGGAAUUCCAUAUAGACAAACAUGAUUCCUUUUUUCAUGUUGUUUACAGUCGUCUAAUCUUGACUCGAGAUACUGAAUCUUCUUAUCUUGUUCAUUUAUACGUGUUUCUAGUUCGUGAAUAUUUGACGUCACCUUUGCUAAUAUGCGAUUGAUAAAAUCCUCGUCAGAUAAGAGUUCCUUGAUAACUUCUUUUACGGUGAUUUUCAUGUCCAUAACUACCUUAGGACCCAUUGCAUACAGGUACUAGUUAUAACUAAUUUAUUGAUCUUUCAAUCAAGAAUUCAAGUUAAUUACAACAAUUUGACUACCUCAAUAUAACAAUUUUCGCAGGAGCGUAAGAUUGUACGUCUACUCACACCGCACCAUGCGUAAAGAAUCAAUAUAAAAAUUAAUUCAUGCUACAGAGAUAAUCAGAGUUGAGAGAAUAUUUUUUGAGAUUGAAAUCCAGAGUAUUAGAAAACCCAGAGAAUUAUUCAAAUUUGAAAUCUGGAUCGACAGUCUAAGAUCUGAGCUUUUUGACAAAUGAUUUGUUGGACGUCAUAGAGCCAAGUACGAGUAACAAAACUUGAUCAGAGGCCAACAAAUCCAAGAGAAGUAUAUAGGUACGAGACAUUAUCAUAAACAGUAUUGAGGAGAAUUAUCACGAGGAAAUUCUCAAUAUCCGAGACCCUGUUGAAGUAAUUAGAGGUUUGAGGUUCUCCAGGAAGUGCAGUCAAAUGUAACACACACUUCAGAGCAACGAUAAGCGAAGAAGAUGAGAUGAGCUUACAAUCGCAGACACAUUCCAAUAACGAGUUAUUAGGUUCGGAGGGAGAACCGGAAUCUGCGAUUGGGAGGGAGAAAGAGUAUAAUCUCAUCUCUUCAUCUAAAGAGAAAGUUUUACAAAUUUCAACUGACAAAACAGAUGGAACACAAUCUGAGCAACAAGAGAAAAAUUGUGAUUGCAGUCAUAUCAGUAGAAAUGUAAUUUAGAUCGAUGACUUGGAAUCACUC